GACCCCUCUUUCCUUGCCAUCGUUCCUUUUCUCUUCAAAUCCCUACCUUUUCUCUUCGCAGCUUCUUCCCUCUCCGCCGCGAGCAGGGAGCCGCGAACAGGGAGGAUCUCUUCUUCCCUCUCCGUAGAGACUAGGGAGGAUCUCUUCUUCCCUCUCCGUAGAGACUAGGGAGGAUCUCUUCUUCUUUCUCACUGGUUUUAUUUCUCUCCGCAAGUUGAUCCUCAAACCCUAGCCAAAAUGGUGAUCUCUAAUUGAAGAUCCAAGCGUAAUUCUACGAUGUGGCACUUCUUCCUCCUCAUCAUUGGCAUCUUUCCUAUGGCAUUCUUUAUCCUCCUCCCUUCCACCGCCACAAUACCGGUGGUGGCUGGUAUUGAGUAGAAUUCGUCAUCUUCGGACUCUGAUUUGUACUAACCUAGCCUCUAUUUUUCAUGUAGAUCGAUGUUGACCCUCUGAUCAAACCUCUUAAACACGCGAGCGGAGCUGAUACUGAAGUAGGCGGAGACCACGCCACCGUUGCCUCUACCUACAUCUCAUACGCGCGUCGUCUCAAUCUAGAGUGAUCAAAGCAUAUGCGGGUCUUCUCUGACGGGAUCUCAUAGCAUUGUGGAAAAUUGAUAUGGAUGGGAAAGUGAAUGAAGCAGUUGAGAUAUGCUUUGGGUCUUUUCACCGUUAUGCACAAUAUAUGAAUUUCUCACACCCCUUGAUCAAGGAGAAGUUUGAACUUGAUGCGUGGAGGAAGGAAAAAUGCAUUGAAGCAGAAUCUUAAUAAAAAUUGAACACUAUGAAAAUUAGGUACACUUUUACUCGAAUUGAUCACAAUCUACUCGACAACCACUUGACUAGAAAUAUAUCUCAAGGAUUUUUGUGAGCUUGUCAAUCCUCUACCACCAUUUGACUAGAAAAGCAAAUAUGAUAGCUUGGACUUAUCAUCUGGAGGAUGCACUUGGAGGAAUGAUAGUUUGGCCUUUUCAUCUGUUGACAAUAAGAGAAAACUACUAUUCGUGCAUAUGGAAUGAUACUUCAUCUAUUUCUCAUUUGGUGACAAGUACUUGGAUUUUGCUUAUAAUAUGAUGGUUGAAGAUGAUUCAUAUUAAAUUAGUUGAGUUUUUAUUGUACAAGACUUUGUUUUUUCUAAAACUUAAUAUUUUGAGUUCAUUUUAUUAGUAUUUAGUUAGUUUUGGAAUCAAUACUUUUAUAUUAGUAUUGCAUUUGUAAAUUUGACUCAAAUGAUUAUUGGAUGAAUAAAAAUUACAUGUGACGGAUGUGAUAAA
This is a long non-coding RNA of Zingiber officinale, 1271 nucleotides long. RefSeq lists it as uncharacterized. The record is from RefSeq and is a predicted model, not a curated record. NCBI's taxonomy places the organism in Eukaryota, Viridiplantae, Streptophyta, Magnoliopsida, Zingiberales, Zingiberaceae. The transcript has 5 exons.